GUGAAUGUGGUGUCUCUUCACAGCAACAGAAACCCUAAUUAAGACUAUUAGAACGGCCCCUGUGCAAGGAUGAUAUACAAAUUUAUGAGGCAUUCCAUACUUUA
Molecule: small nuclear RNA, 104 nt
Filed under: Microtus ochrogaster (prairie vole)
Lineage: Eukaryota; Metazoa; Chordata; Mammalia; Rodentia; Cricetidae
Source: RNAcentral